ACUGCUCAGUAACACGUGGAUAACCUGCCCUUGGGUCCGGCAUAACCCCGGGAAACUGGGGAUAAUUCCGGAUAACGCACAUAUGCUGGAAUGCUUUAUGCGUAAAAUGGAUUCGUCUGCCCAAGGAUGGGUCUGCGGCCUAUCAGGUAGUAGUGGGUGUAAUGUACCUACUAGCCUACAACGGGUACGGGUUGUGAGAGCAAGAGCCCGGAGAUGGAUUCUGAGACAUGAAUCCAGGCCCUACGGGGCGCAGCAGGCGCGAAAACUUUACAAUGCGGGAAACCGUGAUAAGGGGACACCGAGUGCCAGCAUCAUAUGCUGGCUGUCCAGGUGUGUAAAAUACACCUGUUAGCAAGGGCCGGGCAAGACCGGUGCCAGCCGCCGCGGUAACACCGGCGGCCCGAGUGGUGAUCGUGAUUAUUGGGUCUAAAGGGUCCGUAGCCGGUUUGGUCAGUCCUCCGGGAAAUCUGACGGCUUAACCGUUAGGCUUUCGGGGGAUACUGCCAGGCUUGGAACCGGGAGAGGUAAGAGGUACUACAGGGGCAGGAGUGAGAUCUUGUAAUCCCUGUGGGACCACCUGUGGCGAAGGCGUCUUACCAGAACGGGUUCGACGGUGAGGGACGAAAGCUGGGGGCACGAACCGGAUUAGAUACCCGGGUAGUCCCAGCCGUAAACGAUGCUCGCUAGGUGUCAGGCAUGGCGCGACCGUGUCUGGUGCCGCAGGGAAGCCGUGAAGCGAGCCACCUGGGAAGUACGGCCGCAAGGCUGAAGCUUAAAGGAAUUGGCGGGGGAGCAC
RNAcentral lists this ribosomal RNA (796 nucleotides) under uncultured archaeon. RNAcentral describes it as "bacterial SSU rRNA". It matches the Rfam family "Archaeal small subunit ribosomal RNA", at positions 85 to 879 of the family's 1478-position model. The record is from RNAcentral.